RNAcentral lists this ribosomal RNA (904 nucleotides) under uncultured bacterium. Its description in RNAcentral is "bacterial SSU rRNA". It matches the Rfam family "Bacterial small subunit ribosomal RNA", at positions 1 to 907 of the family's 1533-position model. The record is from RNAcentral.
UAGAGUUUGAUCCUGGCUCAGGAUGAACGCUGGCGGCGUGCCUAACACAUGCAAGUCGAACGAAGCUUGACGGAUGAUUUCUUCGGAAUGAAACUAGAUAUGACUUAGUGGCGGACGGGUGAGUAACACGUGAGCAACCUGCCUUUCAGAGGGGGAUAACGGCUGGAAACGGUCGCUAAUACCGCAUGAUGUGUUCGGAUGGCAUCAUCUGAACAUCAAAGAUUUAUCGCUGAAAGAUGGGCUCGCGUCUGAUUAGAUAGUUGGUGGGGUAACGGCCUACCAAGUCUACGAUCAGUAGCCGGACUGAGAGGUUGAACGGCCACAUUGGGACUGAGAUACGGCCCAGACUCCUACGGGAGGCAGCAGUGGGGAAUAUUGCACAAUGGGGGAAACCCUGAUGCAGCAACGCCGCAUGAAGGAUGACGGUUUUCGGAUUGUAAACUUCUUUUCUUAGUGACGAAGACAGUGACGGUAGCUAAGGAAUAAGCAUCGGCUAACUACGUGCCAGCAGCCGCGGUAAUACGUAGGAUGCAAGCGUUAUCCGGAUUUACUGGGUGUAAAGGGAGCGCAGGCGGGACUGCAAGUUGGAUGUGAAAUACCGUGGCUUAACCACGGAACCGCAUCCAAAACUGUAGUUCUUGAGUGAAGUAGGGGCAAGCGGAAUUCCGAGUGUAGCGGUGAAAUGCGUAGAUAUUCGGAGGAACACCAGUGGCGAAGGCGGCUUGCUGGGCUUUAACUGACGCUGAGGCUCGAAAGUGUGGGGAGCAAACAGGAUUAGAUACCCUGGUAGUCCACACUGUAAACGAUGAUAGCUAGGUGUGGGGGGUCUGACCCCUUCCGUGCCGGAGUUAACGCAAUAAGCUAUCCACCUGGGGAGUACGACCGCAAGGUUGAAACUCAAAGG